Molecule: small nucleolar RNA, 132 nt
Organism: Mastomys coucha (southern multimammate mouse)
Lineage: Eukaryota; Metazoa; Chordata; Mammalia; Rodentia; Muridae
Product: small nucleolar RNA SNORA17
Exons: 1
Source: RefSeq, a predicted model, not a curated record
CCUGCCCCAAGAGCCAUUCCAAGUGUGGCUGCUAUGUCACAUGUAUGUCAGUAGGUGUCAGAGAGGAGAAAGGGUAUGUCUAUUCUCAGUGUUCGAACCUAUGAACAUUUGAAUAAUUAGUAGCUUAACAUU